Molecule: unclassified non-coding RNA, 227 nt
Filed under: Arceuthobium pendens
Lineage: Eukaryota; Viridiplantae; Streptophyta; Magnoliopsida; Santalales; Viscaceae
Source: RNAcentral
AUAAGUCACCAAAAUAUUUUUUCCAAGACAUAGUGAUGGAUGGAUGUAUUUGGUUAUUGCGUUGUCUUCUCGUACACCCACUUCUGUACGAUUGGAUAAAAUAUUAGUGUCCUUGCMAUCAAAUGCCUUACGUGUUUUGGUUAACAUUGUAUGGUAUCAAUAUUGUCAAGUUAUAAUUAAAAGGCCAAACAGAUUGUCGGUCUUAUCCUUGUAAAAUUAGAGAAUCA